RNAcentral lists this ribosomal RNA (1411 nucleotides) under uncultured organism. RNAcentral describes it as "bacterial SSU rRNA". It matches the Rfam family "Bacterial small subunit ribosomal RNA". The record is from RNAcentral.
GGCAGGCCUAACACAUGCAAGUCGAGGGGUAAGGCUCUCUUCGGAGAGUACACGACCGGCGAACGGGUGCGCAACGCGUAUGCAACCUGCCUGUAUCUGGAACAUAGCCCCGAGAAAUCGGGAUUAAUUUUCCAUAAUAUCCUUUAGUGACAUCACUUUUGGAUUAAAGCUCCGGCGGAUACAGAUGGGCAUGCGUGACAUUAGCUUGUUGGUGCGGUAACGGCGCACCAAGGCCAAGAUGUCUAGGGGGUCUGAGAGGAUGAUCCCCCACACUGGUACUGAGACACGGACCAGACUCCUACGGGAGGCAGCAGUGAGGAAUAUUGCGCAAUGGAGGAAACUCUGACGCAGCCAUGCCGCGUGAAGGAUGACGGCCCUAUGGGUUGUAAACUUCUUUUCUGCUUCAAGAAACAGUCGUACGUGUACGGCUUUGACGGUAGAGCAGGAAUAAGCAUCGGCUAACUCCGUGCCAGCAGCCGCGGUAAUACGUAAGUGGCGAGCGUUAUCCGGAUUUACUGGGCAUAAAGCGUUCGUAGGCGGCGUAGUAAGUUGGAUUUGAAAGACCGGGGCUCAACUCCGGAACCGGAUCCAAAACUACUAUGCUAGAGCGUAUCAGAGGGCAGUGGAAUUCCCGGUGUAGCGGUAAUAUGCGUAGAUAUCGGGAGGAACACCAGUGGCGAAGGCGACUGCCUGGGGUACUGCUGACGCUGAGGAACGAAAGCUAGGGGAGCGAACGGGAUUAGAUACCCCGGUAGUCCUAGCCGUAAACGUUGGGCACUAGGUGUCGGGAGCUUCGACCCUCUCGGUGCCGCCGCUAACGCAUUAAGUGCCCCGCCUGGGAAGUACGGCCGCAAGGUUAAAACUCAAAGGAAUUGACGGGUCCCCGCACAAGCAGUGGAGCAUGUGGUUUAAUUCGAUGCUACGCGAAGAACCUUACCCGGACUUGACAUCCCAUGGAAAGCCUGGUUAACCCCGGGCCCCCUUCGGGCCGUGGUGACAGGUGGUGCAUGGCUGUCGUCAGCUCGUGCCGUGAGGUGUUGGAUUAAGUUCCGCAACAAGCGCAACCCUCGUCGUUAGUUGCCAUCAUUAAGUUGGGCACUCUAGCGAGACUGCCAUCGUCAAGAUGGAGGAAGGUGGGGAUGACGUCAAGUCAUCAUGCCCCUUACGUCCGGGGCUACACACGUGCUACAAUGGCUGGUACAACGGGCAGCGACAUUGUGAAAUGAAGCGAAUCCCUUAAAGCCAGUCCCAGUCCGGAUUGGAGGCUGCAACUCGCCCCCAUGAAGUUGGAAUUGCUAGUAAACGUGGAUCAGCAUGCCACGUUGAAUACGUACCCGGGGAUUGUACACACCGCCCGUCACACCAUGGAAGUUGGUACACCCGAAGUCCGUGAGCUAACCUAGUGAGGCAG